ACGGCUCAGUAACACGUGGAUAACCUACCCUUUGGACAGGGAUAAACCCGGGAAACUGGGUAUAAUACCCGAUAGAUCUCGAAUGCUGGAAUGCAUCGAGAUCGAAAGCUCCGGCGCCUAAGGAUGGAUCUGCGGCCUAUCAGGUAGUAGUGGGUGUAGCGUACCUACUAGCCUACGACGGGUACGGGUUGUGAGAGCAAGAGCCCGGAGAUGGAUUCUGAGACACGAAUCCAGGCCCUACGGGGUGCAGCAGGCGCGAAAACUUUACAAUGCCGGCAACGGCGAUAAGGGGACCUCGAGUGCCAGGUUACAAAUCUGGCUGUCGAGAUGCCUAAAAAGCAUUUCAUAGCAAGGGCCGGGCAAGACCGGUGCCAGCCGCCGCGGUAACACCGGCGGCUCGAGUGGUAACCGUUAUUAUUGGGUCUAAAGGGUCUGUAGCCGGCCGGAUAAGUCUCUUGGGAAAUCUGGCAGCUUAACUGUCAGGCUUUCAGGAGAUACUGUCUGGCUCGAGGCCGGGAGAGGUGAGAGGUACUUCAGGGGUAGGGGUGAAAUCUUGUAAUCCUUGAAGGACCACCAGUGGCGAAGGCGUCUCACCAGAACGGACCUGACGGCAAGGGACGAAAGCUAGGGGCACGAACCGGAUUAGAUACCCGGGUAGUCCUAGCCGUAAACGAUACUCGCUAGGUGUCGGCCGCGGUGCGACCGUUGUCGGUGCCGUAGGGAAGCCGUGAAGCGAGCCACCUGGGAAGUACGGCCGCAAGGCUGAAACUUAAAGGAAUUGGCGGGGGAGCAC
Molecule: ribosomal RNA, 793 nt
Filed under: uncultured Methanotrichaceae archaeon
Lineage: Archaea; Methanobacteriati; Methanobacteriota; Methanomicrobia; Methanotrichales; Methanotrichaceae
Description: bacterial SSU rRNA
Rfam family: Archaeal small subunit ribosomal RNA
Source: RNAcentral